GAUCAACGCUGGCGGCGUGCUUAACACAUGCAAGUCGAACGAAGUUUUUCCUUCGGGAGAAACUUAGUGGCGGACGGGUGAGUAACGCGUGGGUAACCUGCCCUGUACAGGGGGACAACAGCUGGAAACGGCUGCUAAUACCGCAUAAGCCCUUAGCACUGCAUGGUGCAUAGGGAAAAGGGGCAAUCCGGUACAGGAUGGACCCGCGUCUGAUUAGCCAGUUGGCAGGGUAACGGCCUACCAAAGCGACGAUCAGUAGCCGAUCUGAGAGGAUGUACGGCCACAUUGGGACUGAGACACGGCCCAGACUCCUACGGGAGGCAGCAGUGGGGAAUAUUGCACAAUGGAGGAAACUCUGAUGCAGCGACGCCGCAUGAGUGAAGAAGUAUUUCGGUAUGUAAAGCUCUAUCAGCAGGGAAGAAAAUGACGGUACCUGACUAAGAAGCACCGGCUAAAUACGUG
RNAcentral lists this ribosomal RNA (462 nucleotides) under uncultured bacterium. Its description in RNAcentral is "partial 16S ribosomal RNA". It matches the Rfam family "Bacterial small subunit ribosomal RNA", at positions 28 to 507 of the family's 1533-position model. The record is from RNAcentral.